RNAcentral lists this small RNA (861 nucleotides) under Pongo abelii (Sumatran orangutan). RNAcentral's name for it is "processed transcript". Lineage: Eukaryota; Metazoa; Chordata; Mammalia; Primates; Hominidae. The record is from RNAcentral.
CCGAUACCAUCGGCGCAAGGCCCAGCAGAUGACCCAGAAAUAUGAGGAGGAGCUGACGCUGACCAGGGAGAACUCCAUCCGGCGGCUGCAUUCCCAUCACACGGACCCCAGGAGCCAGAGUGAAGAGCCUGAGGGCCGCAGUUACUCCACGCUGACCACGGUGAGGGAGAUAGAAACGCAGACUGAACUGCUGUCUCCAGGCUCUGGGCGGGCCGAGGAGGAGGAUCAGGAUGAAGGCAUCAAACAGGCCAUGAACCAUUUUGUUCAGGAGAAUGGGACCCUACGGGCCAAGCCCACAGGCAAUGGCAUCUAUAUCAAUGGGCGGGGACACCUGGUCUGACCCAGGCCUGCCUCCCUUCCCUAGGCCUGGCUCCUUCUGUUGACAUGGGAGAUUUUAGCUCAUCUUGGGGGCCUCCUUAAACACCCCCAUUUCUUGCGGAAGACGCUCCCCAUCCCACUGACUGCUUGACCUUUACCUCCAACCCUUCUGUUCAUCGGGAGGGCUCCACCGAUUGAGUCUCUCCCACCAUGCAUGCAGGUCACUGUGUGUGUGCAUGUGUGCCUGUGUGAGUGUUGACUGACUGUGUGUGUGGAGGGGUGACUGUGUCCUUGGAGGGGUGACUGUGUCCGUGGUGUGUAUUAUGCUGUCAUAUCAGAGUCAAGUGAACUGUGGGGUAUGUGCCACAGGAUUUGAGUGGUUGCGUGGGCAACACUGUCAGGGUUUGGCGUGUGUGUCAUGUGGCUGUGUGUGACCUCUGCCUGAAAAAGCAGGUAUUUUCUCAGACCCCAGAGCAGUAUUAAUGAUGCAGAGGUUGGAGGUGAGAGGUGGAGACUGUGGGUCAGACCCAGGUGUGCGGGCAU